RNAcentral lists this ribosomal RNA (764 nucleotides) under uncultured bacterium. Its description in RNAcentral is "bacterial SSU rRNA". It matches the Rfam family "Bacterial small subunit ribosomal RNA", at positions 28 to 776 of the family's 1533-position model. The record is from RNAcentral.
GACGAACGCUGGCGGCGUGCCUAAUACAUGCAAGUAGAACGCUGAAGGAGGAGCUUGCUUCUCUGGAUGAGUUGCGAACGGGUGAGUAACGCGUAGGUAACCUGCCUGGUAGCGGGGGAUAACUAUUGGAAACGAUAGCUAAUACCGCAUAACAGUAGAUGUUGCAUGACAUUUGCUUAAAAGGUGCAAUUGCAUCACUACCAGAUGGACCUGCGUUGUAUUAGCUAGUUGGUGGGGUAACGGCUCACCAAGGCAACGAUACAUAGCCGACCUGAGAGGGUGAUCGGCCACACUGGGACUGAGACACGGCCCAGACUCCUACGGGAGGCAGCAGUAGGGAAUCUUCCGCAAUGGGCGAAAGCCUGACGGAGCAACGCCGCGUGAGUGAAGAAGGAUUUCGGUUCGUAAAGCUCUGUUGUUAGGGAAGAAUGGAUAUGUAGUAACUAUACAUAGUAGAGACGGUACCUAACCAGAAAGCCACGGCUAACUACGUGCCAGCAGCCGCGGUAAUACGUAGGUGGCAAGCGUUGUCCGGAAUUAUUGGGCGUAAAGCGCGCGCAGGUGGUUUAAUAAGUCUGAUGUGAAAGCCCACGGCUCAACCGUGGAGGGUCAUUGGAAACUGUUAAACUUGAGUGCAGGAGAGAAAAGUGGAAUUCCUAGUGUAGCGGUGAAAUGCGUAGAGAUUAGGAGGAACACCAGUGGCGAAGGCGGCUUUUUGGCCUGUAACUGACACUGAGGCGCGAAAGCGUGGGGGAGCAAACAGG